Molecule: ribosomal RNA, 404 nt
Filed under: uncultured bacterium
Lineage: Bacteria
Description: bacterial SSU rRNA
Rfam family: Bacterial small subunit ribosomal RNA
Source: RNAcentral
UGAGGAAUAUUGCACAAUGGGCGAAAGCCUGAUGCAGCAACGCCGCGUGGGGGACGAAGGCCUUCGGGUCGUAAACCUCUUUUCUGGGGAAAGAGACAGGACGGUACCUCAGGAAUAAGUCUCGGCUAACUACGUGCCAGCAGCCGCGGUAAAACGUAGGAGGCGAGCGUUAUCCGGAUUUACUGGGCGUAAAGCGCACGUAGGCGGUUCCGUUAGUCGGACGUGAAAGCUCCUGGCUUAACUGGGAGAGGCCGUUCGAUACUGCGGGACUUGAGGUUGGAAGAGGGGUGUGGAAUUCCCGGUGUAGUGGUGGAAUGCGUAGAUAUCGGGAGGAACACCUGUGGCGAAAGCGGCACCCUGGUCCACACCUGACGUUGAGGGGCGAAAGCGUGGGUAGCAAACAG